UGGGGAAUAUUGCACAAUGGGCGCAAGCCUGAUGCAGCCAUGCCGCGUGUAUGAAGAAGGCCUUCGGGUUGUAAAGUACUUUCAGCUGGGAGGAAGGGAGUAAAGUUAAUACCUUUUCUCAUAGACGUUACCCGCAGAAGAAGCACCGGCUAACUCCGUGCCAUCAGCCGCGGUAAUACGGAGGGUGCAAGCGUUAAUCGGAAUUACUGGGCGUAAAGCGCAAGCAGGCGGUUUGUUAAGUCAGAUGUGAAAUCCUCGGGCUCAACCUGGGAACUGCAUCUGAUACUGGCAAGCUUGAGUCUCGUAGAGGGGGGUAGAAUUCCAGGUGUAGCGGUGAAAUGCGUAGAGAUCUGGAGGAAUACCGGUGGCGAAGGCGGCCCCCUGGACGAAGACUGACGCUCAGGUGCGAAAGCGUGGGGAGCAAACAGG
RNAcentral lists this ribosomal RNA (429 nucleotides) under Chloroflexota bacterium. RNAcentral's name for it is "Chloroflexi bacterium partial 16S ribosomal RNA". It matches the Rfam family "Bacterial small subunit ribosomal RNA", at positions 355 to 776 of the family's 1533-position model. Lineage: Bacteria; Bacillati; Chloroflexota. The record is from RNAcentral.